GCCCGUGGCGGGAAGCCAGAGGCAGAGAGCAUCCCAGAAUUUGGCUCUGGAGGCCCAUCUCUGAACCCAAAAAGAGUUUGGAAUUACCCUGACGUCCGAUACCAUAUUGGGCACCCUCCGCUAGCCCUCUCUGGCCAGGUCCCUGGGCAGGCUGCCUGGGCAGGCUGCCUGGGCUGGGCCUUCUGCAGAACAAAUGGCGCCGGCCAUGCACCCCCACUCAAGGCGUGGCGGGGGUGAAGCCAUGCUCUCUCCUCAUUCCCCCUUGGAGUGAGUGCCAGCUGCCAGGCUCAGGACUUGCAGGUGCUAAGCUGAGGCAAAGGGUCUGAGUGACUUCCGCAGGGAGAAUCAUGCCGUUGGGUGAAAGACCCCUCAGGGUGGAGACCUGGCCUGCAACCAGGCACCCCAGCCUGGAGGAGACAGGUUGCACCCUGGGGGCACCUCUUGUUGCAGGAGAUCCUCGCCUUGUCUGCGAGGCCCUCGCCGUUGACCCACUGGCCUCCUCCAGGCUCAGGUGGGCUCUCCCUCCAGGGCUGCGUGGAGCAGGUCCUGUCCUAACCCCAGGACCUUAAGGGCGGAGUCUGUGACUUCCCCUUGGAGCGAGCGCCUCAGUGAAUGAACCAGUGAGAAGAAAUGAACAAAUGAGUGAACAAAGGAAUGGAAAAGGGGCUUCCCCUGCCACGGAGGGGCUGAGUCAGUGAGACCACGAGAUGGUGAAGGAUCUUGCCCCAGCAGGAGUGAGUGGGGAGCUCGGGGUUCCGGGGCGACCCUGGGGGACAGAGGCGGCGGCAGCAGCAGCAGCAGGAAGGCGGCCUCGAUGGAUGGCCGGGGAAAGGGGCUGCGCUGCCCAUCAUCCAGAGAGGACCCGGAGGGCCGAGGGGUCCUUUUCCCCAAGCACAGCCCCCCAUCGUCUGUCCAGACUCCUGUGUGCCCUUAGGCUCCAUCCGUGGCCACGCUCGAGGAGAACCCGCCUGGCCCCUGCCCUGGGGUUUUCUUGGCAGGAUUCUCCUUGGAGGCUGUUUCUCUUGGAUGAAGCCUCCCUCUGACCCCUCCCCCCUC
Long non-coding RNA from Sus scrofa (pig), 1056 nucleotides. RefSeq lists it as uncharacterized. The record is from RefSeq and is a predicted model, not a curated record. Lineage: Eukaryota; Metazoa; Chordata; Mammalia; Artiodactyla; Suidae.